RNAcentral lists this ribosomal RNA (253 nucleotides) under uncultured bacterium. Its description in RNAcentral is "partial 16S ribosomal RNA". It matches the Rfam family "Bacterial small subunit ribosomal RNA", at positions 524 to 776 of the family's 1533-position model. The record is from RNAcentral.
UACGAAGGGGGCUAGCGUUGCUCGGAAUCACUGGGCGUAAAGGGUGCGUAGGCGGGUUCUUAAGUCAGAGGUGAAAUCCUGGAGCUCAACUCCAGAACUGCCUUUGAUACUGAGAGUCUUGAGUUCGGGAGAGGUGAGUGGAACUGCGAGUGUAGAGGUGAAAUUCGUAGAUAUUCGGAGGAACACCAGUGGCGAAGGCGACUCGCUGGACUGAUACUGACGCUGAGGUGCGAAAGCGUGGGGAGCAAACAGG